GAGGAUUCAAUCAAUGACCCAUACAAUAAAUUAGAAUGACAGAGAAGAUCCAAAGGUGCUGCGAGGUUUGUGGCAAUCUAUCCUUUGACGAUGGCGGUGAUGGGUUCUUCUAUUGCACUCGUUGCGGCUCUCAAGCAGUUGACAUCAUGGACACGGGUGUUGAUGAUGAUGACCUAUUCAACGUAGAUGGGGGUAUGUACUCUACUAGUCAGCGCCGUCAAUAUUGCCAGGUCAUUCAACCUGUACCCAUAUCUCAGGUACAACUCUCUCAGCAUUUAGAGACGUUGAAAACCUUUGAUGACUACGACGAGCGUAAUGGAGAUGAUGGAGUUGGUGCAGUGCCUAGUGAUUUUGGAUCAUCUCAAAUUUCUCUGACUUACACAGACUAUUAUUCAGAGAUCCGAUUGAGGUAUGUUAUGGGGUUACAA
This 428-nucleotide unclassified non-coding RNA is filed under the name Hevea brasiliensis (rubber tree). Lineage: Eukaryota; Viridiplantae; Streptophyta; Magnoliopsida; Malpighiales; Euphorbiaceae. The record is from RNAcentral.